Agelaius phoeniceus (red-winged blackbird) is the source of this 368-nucleotide non-coding RNA. NCBI's taxonomy places the organism in Eukaryota, Metazoa, Chordata, Aves, Passeriformes, Icteridae. The record is from RefSeq and is a predicted model, not a curated record.
AGGAAGUCAGUCUGAUCCAGGAAGCCCAGGCUGUGUGCACAAACAAGAUCCACUACUGUGAUACUUCAGAACUACUGAAUUUGCAAUACCGUGCAGUUAUUGGAAAAAGGCUUCUUCUUAGAGAGGCAUAAAGAAAAAAAUAGAUGGGAAAAAAAUCCUUUGAACAGCACUGAAGGAUAAGAAAAACAAUUUGAUAUCGUAUGAUGAGGACACCCCUGCAAGCUGCCGUAGGCAUUGUUCAUUUUCAGGUUUUCACACAGUCUGGUAGAGCCAGAGUUUUCUCCUGUGUCAUUAUGGAGCUCAUUCCUUUCUGACUACUGUCAAAUGUAUGAAUAAAAUGAAGUGAUGAAAUAAUUCAGCUGUUGUAA